RNAcentral lists this ribosomal RNA (525 nucleotides) under Triticum aestivum (bread wheat). RNAcentral's name for it is "partial small subunit ribosomal RNA". Lineage: Eukaryota; Viridiplantae; Streptophyta; Magnoliopsida; Poales; Poaceae. The record is from RNAcentral.
AUGGAGUCGGGUGCCCUCAUCAACCAUGCCCGCCGCCCCCGCAAUAGCCACAAGGUCAUCGCCGCCUCGCCAGCGAUGGAGCACCAGGUCUUCCUGCUGAACUAGCACGCGGUCGUGGUCACCGCAGUGGGCACCAAGGCGCACGAGGCGAGCCCGCUGUCCCUCGGCCGCGCGAUCGAGCGCGAGCUCAAGAUCCCCCCGCACCUCCUCCGCGUCACCAACCACAACCCCGAGGACUUCUUUGUCUACUUCACCCUGCCGGCGCACAAGGACCUGGUGGUGCGGUGCGACUCGUUAUCGGUGGAUGGCGUGCCGUUCCUGCUCGAGCCCUGGCGAGAGGAUGCCCACGCCGUCCGGCUCAAGUGGAUGCUGCAUGUGCGUGUCAUCAUCGAGAAGCUCCCCAUGCAGCUCUGGAUGAUGCAAGGUGCGGUGGAGGCCAUCAGCGACAAGGCGAUCGUGGACUGCCUCGAUAGUCGGACUCACGAACGCGUCGACACCAAGUUGUUCGCGUGCUAGGUUUGGUGC